GAUGAACGCUGGCGGCGUGCCUAAUACAUGCAAGUCGAGCGAACGGACAAGAAGCUUGCUUCUCUGAUGUUAGCGGCGGACGGGUGAGUAACACGUGGAUAACCUACCUAUAAGACUGGGAUAACUUCGGGAAACCGGAGCUAAUACCGGAUAAUAUUUUGAACCGCAUGGUUCAAAAGUGAAAGACGGUCUUGCUGUCACUUAUAGAUGGAUCCGCGCUGCAUUAGCUAGUUGGUAAGGUAACGGCUUACCAAGGCAACGAUGCAUAGCCGACCUGAGAGGGUGAUCGGCCACACUGGAACUGAGACACGGUCCAGACUCCUACGGGAGGCAGCAGUAGGGAAUCUUCCGCAAUGGGCGAAAGCCUGACGGAGCAACGCCGCGUGAGUGAUGAAGGUCUUCGGAUCGUAAAACUCUGUUAUUAGGGAAGAACAUAUGUGUAAGUAACUGUGCACAUCUUGACGGUACCUAAGCAGAAAGCCACGGCUAACUACGU
This 496-nucleotide ribosomal RNA is filed under the name uncultured bacterium. Its description in RNAcentral is "partial 16S ribosomal RNA". It matches the Rfam family "Bacterial small subunit ribosomal RNA", at positions 28 to 506 of the family's 1533-position model. The record is from RNAcentral.